UACGUAGGGUGCGAGCGUUGUCCGGAAUUAUUGGGCGUAAAGAGCUUGUAGGCGGUUUGUCGCGUCUGCUGUGAAAAUCCGGGGCUCAACUCCGGACUUGCAGUGGGUACGGGCAGGCUAGAGUGUGGUAGGGGAGACUGGAAUUCCUGGUGUAGCGGUGGAAUGCGCAGAUAUCAGGAGGAACACCGAUGGCGAAGGCAGGUCUCUGGGCCACUACUGGCGCUGAGAAGCGAAAGCAUGGGGAGCGAACAGG
Molecule: ribosomal RNA, 253 nt
Filed under: uncultured bacterium
Lineage: Bacteria
Description: partial 16S ribosomal RNA
Rfam family: Bacterial small subunit ribosomal RNA
Source: RNAcentral